RNAcentral lists this ribosomal RNA (410 nucleotides) under uncultured bacterium. RNAcentral's name for it is "bacterial SSU rRNA". It matches the Rfam family "Bacterial small subunit ribosomal RNA", at positions 28 to 428 of the family's 1533-position model. The record is from RNAcentral.
GACGAACGCUGGCGGCGUGCCUAAUACAUGCAAGUAGAACGCUGAAGAGAGGAGCUUGCUCUUCUUGGAAGAGUUGCGAACGGGUGAGUAACGCGUAGGUAACCUGCCUUGUAGCGGGGGAUAACUAUUGGAAACGAUAGCUAAUACCGCAUAACAAUGGGUGACCCAUGUCAUUCAUUUGAAAAGGGCAAAUGCUCCACUACAAGAUGGACCUGCGUUGUAUUAGCUAGUAGGUGAGGUAACGGCUCACCUAGGCGACGAUACAUAGCCGACCUGAGAGGGUGAUCGGCCACACUGGGACUGAGACACGGCCCAGACUCCUACGGGAGGCAGCAGUAGGGAAUCUUCGGCAAUGGGGGCAACCCUGACCGAGCAACGCCGCGUGAGUGAAGAAGGUUUUCGGAUCGUNA